Molecule: long non-coding RNA, 3391 nt
Filed under: Brassica napus (rape)
Lineage: Eukaryota; Viridiplantae; Streptophyta; Magnoliopsida; Brassicales; Brassicaceae
Description: long non-coding RNA (BNAP_LNC014846)
Source: RNAcentral
CACAUUUCACAUUGCAAAAUGCAAAUAUACAGUAAACGGAGAGAUAUUCUGCUGAUACGUCUUUCAGGAGAAACUAGAAAGAAAUGAAAUAAGAGUUUCCUUGUUGGUCAAGAAAUUACAGAGGUGAGAUUCAAAGCUCAGGCUGCAUAUUCUCGCACUCAUCUCGGAUAGACUGAAAAAGCAGGGUCGAGAGGUAACGUUCCCCAAAGCUCGGGAACACAACCUGGAAACAAACAUUCAUCAACUCACAUAUCAUACUUCUACCAAACAUGUGAAUCAAGCCUAGCUAAAAAGAUUAAGUAAAUAACUCGAGAACUAAUUUAAUUAUCCGGUGGAUUGUCACAGAUGCAGGACAAGUGAAUCGUUCUGACUAAAAGCUAAUAAAUCAAUUCCAAUCACGAAAAGAUGAAGAAGAACAUAGAUGAGAGCUUGAGGACUUACAGCUAUGAGUUUCCCGGCAUUUUCAGGUCUCUUUGCGACCUGGAUUGCAGCAGCAGCAGCAGCUCCAGAAGAUAUACCAACCUGAAUAUCGUUACAAUAGUUCAAUAAUCACCACACAUUUCUCAUACCAUUCAAUUCAUUUCUCCUUUAAAGACUGUUCCCAUUCAUGAAUAUGCCAAGCAGAAAAAAAAAGACUAACCAACAAGCCUUCUUGGAGAGCUAGUUGCUUUGCAAAUUCAAUAGCUUCCUCACUCGAAAUCUGAUAAGAAGCAAGGCAGCAGGUUAAGUUUGAAUCUCAAGACCCUAAAAACAUUCUAUAUCCUAUUCUUUCACAGGUCUUGCCCAAAUUGGAACCAUAAGACAGUAUGUUCUUGAUAGAACCAAACAAACAGAUCAUACCGCUAUGUAUUCAUCUACAACAGUCUGAUCCAAAUUCUUAGGAAUAAAUCCAGCUCCAAUCCCUUGAAUCUUGUGAGGUCCUGCAUUUUCAAAAUACAAGACAAAUCAAUUUCAGCUUCAGAGAAUAAAGUGGUAGAGAUCCAAGGAAACAAUUAUCAAUGCCUUACCAGGUUUUCCUCCAGAAAGUAUAGCACUUUCCGUGGGUUCAACACCAAUGACCUGGUACACAUAAACAUCAACUAGAUUAAACACUAGUUAAACAAACCUAUCUCUAACUAUAAGAUUCAGUAAGCCCCUUGGCUAUCUACAUACCUUCAGUUCAGGUUUCCUUUCUUUAAUGUACCGGCCAACACCAGUGAUGGUUCCACCAGUUCCAAUUCCCGCAACCAAUAUAUCCACCUUGCCUCUUGUAUCUUCCCAAAUCUCAGGACCAGUAGUCUCGUAAUGAAUCUGCAUUUUGUUUCCAUUAAAUACACUAACAGAUACCUUGCAGCUUAGAGAGUAAGAAAAAUGGGAAAGGAAGUAACCCACAGACCUUGGGAUUGGCUGGGUUGUCAAACUGUUGGAGCAUGUAUGAGUCAGGAGUGUUCUUCAAGAUCUCUUCAGCCUUCUGAAUAGCUCCAGUCAUACCCUUUGCAGGUUCAGUCAACACAAGCUCAGCUCCAAACGCCCUCAAAAGAACCCUUCUUUCCAAACUCAUGGACGCUGGCAUAGUUAAAAUAAGCUUAUACCCUUUUGAAGCAGCAAUAAACGCAAGUCCAAUCCCUGUGUUUCCACUUGUAGAUUCCACAAGAACACUCUAGCAAAUUUGCAGCAACCAAAAAUAAAUAAAUAAAUAAAUCAGAGAACUUACUUAUAACACCACCAAGAAUAAUGAAUUGAGUUUUUUUUCACAAUACCUUUCCAGGUGUGAUAAGUCCUUUUUCCUCAGCAUCUGUAAUCAUACUAUACCCAAUCCUGAAACCACAAAAGCAACAGAAGCUCAGAAUAAACAUAUGUGAAGAUACUACCAAAUGGGUUACACAACAAACCUAUCCUUGACACUGCAACAAGGCUCCAUGAUCUCAAGCUUAGCAGCAACACUUGCAACACAACCUUUAACUAUAUUGUUCAAGUACACCAUUGGAGUUUUCCCAAUAAGCUGAAUCAAUUCAUAGGGCAUUGAGAGAGGCAAACAAACAAAGAUUAGACAAAGAAGUCAAAGUCACACACUUUAUGCUCAAAGUAAGAAACUUUAUCACCAAUCUAUAACCUGAGCGGCGUUCUCGGCGAUAUUGAGACCUUCAACCCCAGGCUUGACGGACACAGCCUUGCACACAACACGGCUACUACACCUCUGGCUCUUGAGGGAGAGAGGAGCCGGGAGAACAUCGAAAGCAGCCGCCUUUCUGGAGGAUAAGGAGAGAGAAGAUAGCUCAGGGGAGUAUUUGAGAGGACGGUGGCGAGAAGUCAACGGAUUAAGGAGAAAAGCAGAGGAAGAUGUCGCAGCAGCCAUGAUCGAUACAGAGAGAGAGAGAGAGAGAGAGAGAGAGAGAUGCUUCCUUCUUCCUCCUUUGUGGUUGGUUACAACUUACAAGAGACACUGAUUAGAUCCUACUGUUAGCUCCUAAACGACGUCGCUUGAUUCUCCCUUAUGGUUAAAAACGUAAAAAAAAAAAAACGCAGAGAGGGUCAGAGCUUCAUCAUCUUCGCAGUUCAAGUAACCAAACUGAAUAGAUGUUAUGAAGUGUUUGUAAGAAACGUAUAUGUGAGAGAUGAAGUUGCGUCCCUUCUCGUCCCAUUCAGUGUCAGCUGUCUCCUCACCAUCAGAGUCGUAUGGCUCGUCAUAUGUCGCUCUUGUUCCCACUGAUCCUGCUCUUAUCAUUUCUCUAGAAGAAGCAGAUACCAUAGUUUCGAAGGAAUAGAAAAUGGCAUACCAAGAAAGGUCAUAUUUAUAAGAUACUCAAAAGACUCGUCAUGCAUUUGAAGUUAUGGGGUUCAAUGGGAGCAAGCUACACAAGUUUCAAGAUACAUUAACUAUACAGUACAACGAAUACGAACAGUUUCAGAUUUUUGAAAAUUCAUAAUUAUAUCAAGGGACAGUUAUGGCUUUUGUAUUUAUUAAUAAAACACCAACUGCGUUGCACAUUUCACAUUGCAAAUAUACAGUAGACGAAGAGAUUUUGUUUGCAGAGACGUCUUUAAUGAGAAACUAGAAAGAAACGAAAGAAGAGGUUCCUUGUUGGUCAAGAAAUUACAGAGGAGAGAUUCAAAGCUCAGGCUGCAUAUUCUCGCACUCAUCUCGGAUAGACUGAAAGAGCAGGGUCGAGAGGUAACGUUCCCCAAAGCUCGGGAACACAACCUGGAAACAAAGAUUGAUCCAUCAACACACAGAUCAUACUUCUGCCAAACAUGUGAAUCUAUUACUCACUAUUUUAAUCAAGCCUAGCUAAAAAGAUUAAGUAAAUAACUCUAGAACUAAUUUAAUUAUUCGGUGGAUUGUCACAGAUGCAGGACAAGGGAAUCGUUCUGACUAAAAGCUAAUAAAUCAAUUCCAAUCACCAAGAGACGA